RNAcentral lists this ribosomal RNA (618 nucleotides) under Triticum aestivum (bread wheat). Its description in RNAcentral is "partial small subunit ribosomal RNA". Lineage: Eukaryota; Viridiplantae; Streptophyta; Magnoliopsida; Poales; Poaceae. The record is from RNAcentral.
AUGGGGAGAUCCCCCCGCCUGCUGCUGCUCGCGGCGCUGCUCCCGGCGGUCGUCGCCGCCGUCGGGCCGCAGCCGGGGGCGCCGUGCGAGCCCACGCUGCUCGCGGCGCAGGUCGCGCUCUUCUGCGCGCCCGGCAUGGCCACCGCGCAGUGCUGCGAGCCCGUCCUCCUCGUCGUCGACCUCGGCGUCCCAUGCCUCUGCCGCGUCGCCGCGGAGCCGCAGCUCGUCACGGCGGGCCUCGACGUCACCCAUCUCCUCAAGACCUACAGCUCCUGCGGCGGCUUCCUUCCCGGCGUCGCCCACCUCUCCUCCGCCGCCUGCGAAGGACCCGCUCCCCCCCCCGCCGUCGUCAGCAGCCCCCCGCCCCCGCCACCAUCCGCCGCACCUCGCCGCAAGCAGCCAGCGCACGACGCACCACCGCCGCCGCCGUCGAGCGAGAAGCCAUCGUCCCAGGAGCAUGAAGGCGGCGCCGCCCACAACAUGGCCGUCCCCACCCAGGCGGCUGCUUCUCCGGUGUCUACAACCCACCAGCCAGCGGGUACGCCCCCCACCCCCUCUCUCUCUUCUGCACUCUAUCAAAUCUCGAACAUUAAUUUUGCUAGUUAUUGCGUACAGUAG